AUUGAACGCUAGCGGCAUGCUUUACACAUGCAAGUCGAACGGCAGCGCGGACUUCUGCAUCUCGGGGCGUGUGGCGCGCGUGAGUAAUGUAUCGGAACGUGCGCAGUAGCGGGGGGUAAAUACGCGAGAGCGUAGGUAUUAUAGCGUAUGCGCUCCGGGGAAAAGAGGGGGAUAGCAACAGCUUUCACUCUUGAGGCUGCCGAUAUCGGAUUAGAUCGUUGGGGGGGUAAAGGCCCACCAAGGCGACGAUCUGUAGCUGGUUUCAGAGGACGACCAGCCACACUGGGACUGAGACACGGCCCAGACUCCUACGGGAGGCAGCAGUGGGGAAUUUUGGACAAUGGGGGCAAGCCUGAUCCAGCAAUCCCGCGUGUGUGAUGAAGGCCUUCGGGUUGUAAAGCACUUUUGUCAGGAAAGAAACCCCUGGCGCUAAUACGCCGGGGAACUGACGGUACCGGCAGAAUAAGCACCGGCUAACUACGUG
This 484-nucleotide ribosomal RNA is filed under the name uncultured bacterium. Its description in RNAcentral is "partial 16S ribosomal RNA". It matches the Rfam family "Bacterial small subunit ribosomal RNA", at positions 30 to 507 of the family's 1533-position model. The record is from RNAcentral.